Molecule: ribosomal RNA, 491 nt
Filed under: uncultured bacterium
Lineage: Bacteria
Description: partial 16S ribosomal RNA
Rfam family: Bacterial small subunit ribosomal RNA
Source: RNAcentral
AGUGAACGCUGGCGGUAGGCCUAACACAUGCAAGUCGAACGGCAGCACAGUAAGAGCUUGCUCUUACGGGUGGCGAGUGGCGGACGGGUGAGGAAUACAUCGGAAUCUACUUUUUCGUGGGGGAGAACGUAGGGAAACUUACGCUAAUACCGCAUACGACCUACGGGUGAAAGCAGGGGAUCUUCGGACCUUGCGCGAUUGAAUGAGCCGAUGUCGGAUUAGCUAGGUGGCGGGGUAAAGGCCCACCAAGGCGACGAUCCGUAGCUGGUCUGAGAGGAUGACCAGCACACUUGGACCUGGACACGGGUCCAGACCCCUACGGGAGCAAGAAGUGGGAAAUUUUGGCAAAUGGGCGAAAGCCUGACCCAGCAAUCCGGCGUGGGUGAAGAAGGCCUUCGGGUUGUAAAGCCCUUUUGUUGGGAAAGAAAAGAAGCAGGUUAAUACCCCGCUGUUCUGACGGUACCAAAAGAAUAAGCCCCGGCUAACUUCGU